This 670-nucleotide ribosomal RNA is filed under the name uncultured Inocybe. RNAcentral describes it as "eukaryotic LSU rRNA". The stretch from base 247 to 400 matches the Rfam family "5.8S ribosomal RNA". The record is from RNAcentral. Lineage: Eukaryota; Fungi; Basidiomycota; Agaricomycetes; Agaricales; Cortinariaceae.
UCCGUAGGUGAACCUGCGGAAGGAUCAUUAACGAAUAAACUUGAACAGGCUGUUGCUAGCUCCCCUGGGGGGCAUGUGCACGCUUGUCAUCUUUGUUUCUCCAACUGUGCACACAUUGUAGACCUGUUUCGGUUCGAGUUUGGGACUGCCAUCUUGGCCUUUCAGGUCUAUGUCAUUUUUUACAAACCAAUGAAUUUGUUUAGAAUGUUGAAUCAGGUCCUUUUUGUACCUAUAAAAGUUAUAAACAACUUUCAGCAACGGAUCUCUUGGUUCUCGCAUCGAUGAAGAACGCAGCGAAAUGCGAUAAGUAAUGUGAAUUGCAGAAUUCAGUGAAUCAUCGAAUCUUUGAACGCAUCUUGCGCUCCUUGGUAUUCCGAGGAGCAUGCCUGUUUGAGUGUCAUUUCGACUUCUCAACCACAGCUGGAUUCAUUUUCUGGGUGUGGCUUGGAUGUGGGGGGGAGUAUAUCUUGUGCAGGCCUCUGUGAGGUCUGCUCCCCUGAAAAGCAUUAGUGGUAUCCGAGCAGAGAAACUACUACAGGUGUGAUAAUUUAUCUAUGCCCAUGGUAUUCUGCAUGAAUGGAUUGCGCUGCUUCUAAACAACAUUUGACAAAUUUGACCUCAAAUCAGGUAGGACUACCCGCUGAACUUAAGCAUAUCAAUAAGCGGAGGA